This 468-nucleotide ribosomal RNA is filed under the name uncultured bacterium. Its description in RNAcentral is "partial 16S ribosomal RNA". It matches the Rfam family "Bacterial small subunit ribosomal RNA", at positions 28 to 507 of the family's 1533-position model. The record is from RNAcentral.
GACGAACGCUGGCGGCGUGCUUAAUACAUGCCAGUCGAACGGAAAGGCCCUGCUUUUGUGGGGUGCUCGAGUGGCGAACGGGUGAGUAACACGUGAGUAACCUGCCCUUGACUUUGGGAUAACUUCUGGAAACUGGGGCUAAUACCGGAUAGGAGCUCCUGCUGCAUGGUGUUGGUUGGAAAGUUUCGGCGGCUGGGGAUGGACGCGCGGCUUAUGAGCUUGUUGGUGGGGUAGUGGCUUCCCAAGGCUUAGACGGGUAGCCGGCCUGAGAGGGUGACCGGCCACAUUGGGACUGAGGUACGGGCAAGACUGCUACGGGAGCAAGCAGUGGAGAAUAGUGCACAAUGGGCGGAAGCCUGAUGCAGCAACGUCGCGUGCGGGAUGACGGCCUUCGGGUUGGAAACCGCUUUCGCCUGGAAAGAAGAGUGAGUGACGGUAAUGGGUAAAGAAGCAACGGCUAACUACGUG